Platichthys flesus (European flounder) is the source of this 3090-nucleotide long non-coding RNA. RefSeq lists it as uncharacterized. NCBI's taxonomy places the organism in Eukaryota, Metazoa, Chordata, Actinopteri, Pleuronectiformes, Pleuronectidae. The record is from RefSeq and is a predicted model, not a curated record. The transcript is spliced from 3 exons.
ACCUCUAUAUCGCUAUAAUAAGCGAUAUAGUGGUUUGAAAUUUACGUGACGUCACAGUGAGCUGCGCCCUCCCUUCUCCUUACUUUUUCCUGUGUCAUUGAACACAACUCGAGACUUUCGAAACCUCCCACUCAGUAUCGGAUGAAUAACACAGUUUGAUGUUUUGCUUGUUCUGCUGACGGACACGUUAAAGACGUCUGCGCUCCCGUUUCUGUGCAUGUCCAGCAUGAGACAACUGGAAUUCAACCACAUUGAACACCGACUUCAGUUUAUUAGGGAUGGAUGUGCCCUGAAGGACAGCGCUGUGAUGACUAUGUUCUGUCUCUUAUGGCAAAGAAGACAAAUAAAUCACUGGGGUGUUAUCCAAAGUGUAUCAAAUCAGAAAACAAAAGAUAAACAUUUUUCUAAUAAGUGUUUAUAUUUUUAACCAACCAUAAUGAUUACAGAAAUUAACUCUAUUAUCCAUGACACUUAGCAAUGAACCAACUCUAAACAGUUGCAAACCAUCUUUAGUCAAGGGAGGAAAACAUGUAGCUGGUGCAGGUUGUCCUCGUGUUGUCCAGCCUGAAGAUGCAGAUGUCCACCAUGUUGCUGUUGAGGACAUCAUGUGCUGCAGUUCAUCAUGUAUGAUGAGAAGAAAGGCACUGUUAAAGAAUGUUUUGUGUUGUGUAUGAAGCACCACAGAUUGCAGAUAGAACCGAUUUACCAGGUUGAGGGUUUGUACCCUCAUGGUUAACUGCACAUAUUGUUGAAUAGAUAAAAUGUCUUUCUAUUUAAUCUGUAAUAUUUAUGUUGAUAAUCUUCCACAGAUUUGUUGAUAGCAGUCCUAAUCAGGUCUCUCCACUUUCCUCAGUGUGAAAACAUAACUUGAAUUUAAUCAGGCAACUGUUUACAACACUGAUGUGUCAAGAUUAUGAUUAUAUCUAAACUGUCUAAUUCACUGUAAAAUUCCAUAGUUAUUGUUACACAAAUAAAUGUUAAUUUGUGUAACAAUUAUGGGAGAAGCAUUUGUAAAUAGGAUUAGGUGGCACAUUUUCCAUGAUACAACAUUUGAUAUCAAAAUUUGUUGCCAUAUAAAUGGACGACAUGAGUUCACAUGCAUACAAGACUAGGAGAGCAAAGAUAAUGCUGUAUUCAUUGAAUGCAUAACACAUUUCUUUUGUAGUGUAUUGCACGUAUGACAGUGUAUGCAUUUUUUAUUUGAAAUAAUACUAAUCAGAUGACACAUUACUUGCAAUUGUUUUAUUAAUGAACAAAACACUUAACAUGGUUAUGUAAUAUCAUGUCACGUGUUUAUUGAAAAGCCAUCUUCUUGUGUUAGAUGAAAUCACAGUUGCUAAAAUAGCAGUGUGACUGAAAUUGUAGUUCAUGAUCAGUUGGUGUCAACAUCAUAAAGACCACUACAGUAAGAUGCCGCUUAUUCUCCACAACAUUGUAAGGCCCAAUGUCAUCAUUCAAGUACACCAUCUUGGGAAGACAAAGAAUAUAGGGUUAGCAAAAGUUGCAAUAUAAUUAUUGGACUAACAGAGUUAUUUUGAAAUGCAUAGUGUACUAAACAGUGUACAGUGUUGUGUGUCAUAACGGAACUAUUGUGACAGUUGGAAAAAUAUACUAUAGUUGUGUCAAUUGUCUUUACAAUCAUGCUCCAUCAUUAUAGUCAUGUGCGAUAAGUCAACAAGCCAUCAGCUUCAGUCUUUGUCAGCAUGAGAUUCCAUCACCUGUGGGAUGACAUGCAAAAAAAUGACAAGGAGAAAGGUAAAUGUAUGAAAUUAUUGCACAAGCAAACUUCAUUUUAUUAUGCAAUGAUUUGCUUACAGUGAAUAUUGUGUAUGAUAUAAUGUAAUCAGUGUAUAUAUUUCGGAAAAAUUGUCUUGUAUUGUUCACCAUUCAUUUUAGAAAACCAUGAGAAAAGACCUUUCAUGUAAUGUUAUGUCAUCAAGUCAGGACAACGCAGGGAAUUGAACCCUGUCUCCAGUAAACUGGGAAUUCCAUCCGGAGCCUUUAGCUUUUUGACAUCACAAUCCAGGUAUAGCAAAACCCUAUCAUAAAAGCAUUUUUUAGUAAAAGUGGUAGAAUGUUUUCAGUACAUCUGUCCUAUGAAUGUGUCUGCAUUGUGAUUGCAUGGUUGCAAAUUAAGUGUUUGUUAAUAGUUCUUUGAAAUGCUUUUAUGAUUCAGGGAAAAAAACCUUAUGCAAAACACCCAUUUGCAUGAUAUGACAAUACAUCAUAUGUAUCAGCAUGUAUAUUCAAUGUGUGUAUAACAAAAGCAUACUAAAGAGUGCCAUAAGUAGGUGCUAUUUAAGUGCAACUACCAUUGUAAUUGUGUUAUAGAUAAGUGCCUUGGAAAUGCUACUACAUUGUUAGUCUCAAAAGUGUUAGUAUGUGCAGGUACAUAAUUAUGAAAUCUCCUAAAACAUAACAAGAACAAUCUCACCAUAUUCAGGAUUUGUAGUUGAUUGCUUGUCUCACAACCUGGAUGUAAAAGAACAUGCAAUUCCUUCGUGGUCACUAAAAUAUGUUGGCAACACCAAAGUGUCUACAUCAUAACAUGUUGUUUUUAUGUAAAUAUGGUCGAUUAAUGUACCCUUCUCAGUUGUUGCUUGAGUGACAUGUUGGAUAUAUCCUUUGUCUGCCAUAAAGGCAACCAUACUAGAAGAUUUGAAGAUGUUAUCAUUAAAAUCUCCUAUUACAGCAGCUGUUGUAUUUAUUAGAUCUAAACAAUCAGUUAACCUGGUGAGAUUUGCUUUAAAAUGAGACAUAGGAUAUGAUGGCGGUCGAUACACCACUGCUAUCACAAUUCUGAAUGUGGUGUAGUUGUACACCAUACAUUCCAAACUUAAAUGAGGUACCUUGACGAUGUCAUAUUGUAAGGCAUCAUUACUAUACAUGCCAACUCCACCAUGCUGUUGUUGUUGUAUGUCUGCCAAUGUGUGGUUACUAUUACUAUAACUUGAACUUCGUGACUGGUUGUGAAAGUUGUAACCUUGAAUUUUGACACAUUCGCUAACAAAAGUGUCAGGAAGCCAUGUUUCUGUUACAGCAAUACAGUUAAGCUGCAAGGGCUGUGUACAUGAAACCAAAUCUGUAAUG